GCCGCGGAGCUUCCCGAACCUCUUCAGCCGCCCGGAGCCGCUCCCGGAGCCCGGCCGUAGAGGCUGCAAUCGCAGCCGGGAGCCCGCAGCCCGCGCCCCGAGCCCGCCGCCGCCCUUCGAGGGCGCCCCAGGCCGCGCCAUGGUGAAGGUGACGUUCAACUCCGCUCUGGCCCAGAAGGAGGCCAAGAAGGACGAGCCCAAGAGCGGCGAGGAGGCGCUCAUCAUCCCCCCCGACGCCGUCGCGGUGGACUGCAAGAUGAUGUGGUACCAGUUGGCCAAAGAAGAGCCUGGUGUUGGUGCAUGUGCUUUGGACUAGCAUUUAUGCUUGCAGGUGUUAUUCUAGGAGGAGCAUACUUGUACAAAUAUUUUGCACUUCAACCAGAUGACGUGUACUACUGUGGAAUAAAGUACAUCAAAGAUGAUGUCAUCUUAAAUGAGCCCUCUGCAGAUGCCCCAGCUGCUCUCUACCAGACAAUUGAAGAAAAUAUUAAAAUCUUUGAAGAAGAAGAAGUUGAAUUUAUCAGUGUGCCUGUCCCAGAGUUUGCAGAUAGUGAUCCUGCCAACAUUGUUCAUGACUUUAACAAGAAACUUACAGCCUAUUUAGAUCUUAACCUGGAUAAGUGCUAUGUGAUCCCUCUGAACACUUCCAUUGUUAUGCCACCCAGAAACCUACUGGAGUUACUUAUUAACAUCAAGGCUGGAACCUAUUUGCCUCAGUCCUAUCUGAUUCAUGAGCACAUGGUUAUUACUGAUCGCAUUGAAAACAUUGAUCACCUGGGUUUCUUUAUUUAUCGACUGUGUCAUGACAAGGAAACUUACAAACUGCAACGCAGAGAAACUAUUAAAGGUAUUCAGAAACGUGAAGCCAGCAAUUGUUUCGCAAUUCGGCAUUUUGAAAACAAAUUUGCCGUGGAAACUUUAAUUUGUUCUUGAACAGUCAAGAAAAACAUUAUUGAGGAAAAUUAAUAUCACAGCAUAACCCCACCCUUUACAUUUUGUGCAGUGAUUAUUUUUUAAAGUCUUCUUUCAUGUAAGUAGCAAACAGGGCUUUACUAUCUUUUCAUCUCAUUAAUUCAAUUAAAACCAUUACCUUAAAAUUUUUUUCUUUCGAAGUGUGGUGUCUUUUAUAUUUGAAUUAGUAACUGUAUGAAGUCAUAGAUAAUAGUACAUGUCACCUUAGGUAGUAGGAAGAAUUACAAUUUCUUUAAAUCAUUUAUCUGGAUUUUUAUGUUUUAUUAGCAUUUUCAAGAAGACGGAUUAUCUAGAGAAUAAUCAUAUAUAUGCAUACGUAAAAAUGGACCACAGUGACUUAUUUGUAGUUGUUAGUUGCCCUGCUACCUAGUUUGUUAGUGCAUUUGAGCACACAUUUUAAUUUUCCUCUAAUUAAAAUGUGCAGUAUUUUCAGUGUCAAAUAUAUUUAACUAUUUAGAGAAUGAUUUCCACCUUUAUGUUUUAAUAUCCUAGGCAUCUGCUGUAAUAAUAUUUUAGAAAAUGUUUGGAAUUUAAGAAAUAACUUGUGUUACUAAUUUGUAUAACCCAUAUCUGUGCAAUGGAAUAUAAAUAUCACAA
This 1569-nucleotide long non-coding RNA is filed under the name Homo sapiens (human). Its description in RNAcentral is "long non-coding RNA NONHSAT165686.1". Lineage: Eukaryota; Metazoa; Chordata; Mammalia; Primates; Hominidae. The record is from RNAcentral.